Molecule: long non-coding RNA, 310 nt
Organism: Rhagoletis pomonella (apple maggot)
Lineage: Eukaryota; Metazoa; Arthropoda; Insecta; Diptera; Tephritidae
Exons: 2
Source: RefSeq, a predicted model, not a curated record
AUAAGUAGUCGAAAAGCCGCAGCGCAAGGAAUAGGCGGCAAAGUGCUCGUACGAAUAGUAUAUGCAUUCAAUCGAUCGAAAUUUUAUAUGUGAUUACGCGAUUUCAAAUAAAUUUCGCACGCGUUUACAAGGAAUUGCGUCCAUUUGGCCUGCAUAUCCAAAAACACAUUUCAUAUUGGCUUUAGUGAAAUUUUUAAAUUUUAUUUUCAAUUUCGAAAUUUAUUUGGUGUGCUGGACAUUGUUUCUAUUUUGACGCAUUUGCAUUAAAUGCGUUUUUAAUUACGCUGAAUUUAGCAAAUUCCAAAUGUGA